This is a non-coding RNA of Hypoxylon sp. FL0543, 128 nucleotides long. The record is from the annotation of a GenBank genome assembly. Lineage: Eukaryota; Fungi; Ascomycota; Sordariomycetes; Xylariales; Hypoxylaceae.
GGCGCAGUGGCGGAGUGGUCUAACGCGAUAGACUAGAAUAAUCUCUGGGAGCAGCUACGAUGUUCUUCAGUAGGUCUCUAGCUCAUCUAUUCCCUUCGGGGGCGUCUGUUCGAAUCAGGCCUGCGUCG